Molecule: ribosomal RNA, 253 nt
Filed under: uncultured prokaryote
Description: partial 16S ribosomal RNA
Rfam family: Bacterial small subunit ribosomal RNA
Source: RNAcentral
ACAGAGGGUGCAAGCGUUAAUCGGAAUUACUGGGCGUAAAGCGCGCGUAGGCGGUUGUGUAAGUUGGAUGUGAAAUCCCCGGGCUUAACCUGGGCACUGCAUUCAAAACUGCACGGCUAGAGUAUGGGAGAGGAAGGUAGAAUUCCAGGUGUAGCGGUGAAAUGCGUAGAGAUCUGGAGGAACACCGGUGGCGAAGGCGGGUCUCUGGGCCGAUACUGACGCUGAGGAGCGAAAGCGUGGGGAGCGAACAGGA